UACGGGGGGGGCAAGCGUUGUUCGGAAUUACUGGGCGUAAAGGGCUCGUAGGUGGCCAACUAAGUCAGACGUGAAAUCCCCAGGCUCAACUUGGGAACUGCGUCUGAUACUGGAUGGCUUGAAUUCGGGAGAGGGAUGCAGAAUUCCAGGUGUAGCGGUGGAAUGCGUAGAGAUCUGCAAGAAUACCCGUGGCGAAGGCGGCCAGCUGGGCCGGUUCUGACGCUGAGGCGCGAAAGCGUGGGGAGCAAACAGG
RNAcentral lists this ribosomal RNA (253 nucleotides) under uncultured bacterium. Its description in RNAcentral is "partial 16S ribosomal RNA". It matches the Rfam family "Bacterial small subunit ribosomal RNA", at positions 524 to 776 of the family's 1533-position model. The record is from RNAcentral.